AUCAUUCUGUAUAUCCUAAAAUAUCUGUUGUGAUGCCUAAUAUGUAGCAACGACCCAAAUAUUUGAUAAAUGAAUGAACAAAAACAAUCACUGAGCCAUUAUUAGACCCAAGUCUAUGUUCUCGAAGCUGGUAUUUCAAUUUUAAAAAGUCCAUUCAAAAUUCUUAGCUGCCAAGAAGAAACUUGAGUAGUGUCUCAUGGAUCACAGACUGCCUGAAUUCUAGGGGGAUGUCCAGAUGAAAAACUCCUGUUUCAUGGAACACUCUUUUCCCAGGAGGAACCAAGGGUCAACCCACCUCAAGGCUCUCAACAAGGCAUCUCAAGUUCCCCAGAUUGGUCUUCUCCCAUCCCUCUUUCACUCUACUUGGCCUGGUGAACCUCAAAGCACCCUAGAGGUCUAAGAACACUUUGAAGUCAGCGGAACUCCCUACCAUACUUAUUUAUAGCUGAUUCUAUAUAUCUUUCAUUACACUCUUGAUAGAUGUAAUUCAAUAAUUAUUUGCAUAAUCUUCCAUUUAGUGUAGGUUGUUUAAAGACUAUUUAUUUAUUUAUUUGACAGAGAGAGAGAAAGAUCACAAGUAGGCAGAGGAGCAGACAGAGAGAGAGGGGGAACCAGACUCCCUGCAGAGUAGAGAGUCCGAUGUGGGGCUGGAUCCCAGGACCCUGAGAUCAUGACCUGAGCUGAAGGCAGAAGCUUAACCCACUGAGCCACGCAGCCACCCCAAGUGUUGGUUGUUAAAACUAGACUACAGCUCACUGGAAGCGAGUCACUCACAAUUAGAAGUGCCCAACCAGGAGUUUAAAAAAAUAAAAUGAAUAAACCAAAGAAGUCACAGAGACGGCCCUCUACAGAUUCUUCUAAAUGUAAAACUUGGAACACAAUAACAAAGUUAGUUGGCCUAGCUUGAGCAAUCAUUGCUUGCACCUGUUGUCUUUGAAUUAAAUUCUAAUGAGAUGGCAGAGACCACUCAUAAAUAUUUAUGAAGACGAGGAGUUUGGCACACACUGGCACUGGGCUGCAAACCCCAAGUGAUGUUAUUUCUUGUUCAGUAGCUUUCCUGUAUCACAGCCACAAGUUCCAUCCUAAAGUGUUGCCAGAAUUUUGAUCUCCAGAAGGAGCUUCUUUUUUCUAGCUUGAUUGUAAAACCUGAAUUUAGAACAGACUCAACAUUUUCAUAUAAUCUUAUCUUAGAGGCAAUGAGCUUCUUCGUUUCAUCCUAAAACCACUAGUUUCUAGUAAACAAAAUACGAUGUUAAGAGAUAUGCUUCUUAUAAAGUAAGUGCUGUAAACAAAAGGAACAACACUCUCCUAUUUCUGAGCCCUGUUGUUUACAGUCCUGGUUAGGACAGUGAUGUUGGAUCUUAAGAGGGGAGAAUAUUCAGUGCAGAUGUCUGAGAUAAAGGAGGUUUUGUAAAACCAAAACCAAACCACUUUAACAAGAUCAGCAAUGUUGUUAGAGUCCUCAAGAAGCAAAAGUUAAUAAAUUCAAAGGGUGACUUCUAAAUACAAUUUAAUCUCCUCAGGAAACACCUCAAUGUUUCUGUCAUCAAUACAGAUAUUUUGUCACAUUUCUGGAAUACUUUGUUACUAUCUACUGGUUGUAAUUAGCUGGUCAGAAAUCUUUUAUGCCAUGCUCUUCUGUCUUAAUAAACUGUCACAGGGCUAUAUCUCGGUGCCAGUAUUUUGCCAGUAUUCUUACAGAGGAGUGAGAGACUGAUAAUCUCAUCAAUGAACAGGAGAGAAGACCUCAG
Mustela lutreola (European mink) is the source of this 1751-nucleotide long non-coding RNA. RefSeq lists it as uncharacterized. NCBI's taxonomy places the organism in Eukaryota, Metazoa, Chordata, Mammalia, Carnivora, Mustelidae. The transcript is spliced from 3 exons. The record is from RefSeq and is a predicted model, not a curated record.